This 1502-nucleotide ribosomal RNA is filed under the name Limosilactobacillus fermentum. RNAcentral's name for it is "bacterial SSU rRNA". It matches the Rfam family "Bacterial small subunit ribosomal RNA". The record is from RNAcentral. Lineage: Bacteria; Bacillati; Bacillota; Bacilli; Lactobacillales; Lactobacillaceae.
GAUGAACGCCGGCGGUGUGCCUAAUACAUGCAAGUCGAACGCGUUGGCCCAAUUGAUUGAUGGUGCUUGCACCUGAUUGAUUUUGGUCGCCAACGAGUGGCGGACGGGUGAGUAACACGUAGGUAACCUGCCCAGAAGCGGGGGACAACAUUUGGAAACAGAUGCUAAUACCGCAUAACAGCGUUGUUCGCAUGAACAACGCUUAAAAGAUGGCUUCUCGCUAUCACUUCUGGAUGGACCUGCGGUGCAUUAGCUUGUUGGUGGGGUAACGGCCUACCAAGGCGAUGAUGCAUAGCCGAGUUGAGAGACUGAUCGGCCACAAUGGGACUGAGACACGGCCCAUACUCCUACGGGAGGCAGCAGUAGGGAAUCUUCCACAAUGGGCGCAAGCCUGAUGGAGCAACACCGCGUGAGUGAAGAAGGGUUUCGGCUCGUAAAGCUCUGUUGUUAAAGAAGAACACGUAUGAGAGUAACUGUUCAUACGUUGACGGUAUUUAACCAGAAAGUCACGGCUAACUACGUGCCAGCAGCCGCGGUAAUACGUAGGUGGCAAGCGUUAUCCGGAUUUAUUGGGCGUAAAGAGAGUGCAGGCGGUUUUCUAAGUCUGAUGUGAAAGCCUUCGGCUUAACCGGAGAAGUGCAUCGGAAACUGGAUAACUUGAGUGCAGAAGAGGGUAGUGGAACUCCAUGUGUAGCGGUGGAAUGCGUAGAUAUAUGGAAGAACACCAGUGGCGAAGGCGGCUACCUGGUCUGCAACUGACGCUGAGACUCGAAAGCAUGGGUAGCGAACAGGAUUAGAUACCCUGGUAGUCCAUGCCGUAAACGAUGAGUGCUAGGUGUUGGAGGGUUUCCGCCCUUCAGUGCCGGAGCUAACGCAUUAAGCACUCCGCCUGGGGAGUACGACCGCAAGGUUGAAACUCAAAGGAAUUGACGGGGGCCCGCACAAGCGGUGGAGCAUGUGGUUUAAUUCGAAGCUACGCGAAGAACCUUACCAGGUCUUGACAUCUUGCGCCAACCCUAGAGAUAGGGCGUUUCCUUCGGGAACGCAAUGACAGGUGGUGCAUGGUCGUCGUCAGCUCGUGUCGUGAGAUGUUGGGUUAAGUCCCGCAACGAGCGCAACCCUUGUUACUAGUUGCCAGCAUUAAGUUGGGCACUCUAGUGAGACUGCCGGUGACAAACCGGAGGAAGGUGGGGACGACGUCAGAUCAUCAUGCCCCUUAUGACCUGGGCUACACACGUGCUACAAUGGACGGUACAACGAGUCGCGAACUCGCGAGGGCAAGCAAAUCUCUUAAAACCGUUCUCAGUUCGGACUGCAGGCUGCAACUCGCCUGCACGAAGUCGGAAUCGCUAGUAAUCGCGGAUCAGCAUGCCGCGGUGAAUACGUUCCCGGGCCUUGUACACACCGCCCGUCACACCAUGAGAGUUUGUAACACCCAAAGUCGGUGGGGUAACCUUUUAGGAGCCAGCCGCCUAAGGUGGGACAGAUGAUUAGGGUGAAGU